RNAcentral lists this long non-coding RNA (2114 nucleotides) under Citrus x clementina. RNAcentral's name for it is "Citrus clementina (C. clementina) long non-coding RNA (CCLE_LNC004111)". The record is from RNAcentral. Lineage: Eukaryota; Viridiplantae; Streptophyta; Magnoliopsida; Sapindales; Rutaceae.
UUUCCAUCUAACUAUUGGAUAGUUUUCAAACAGUUGUAAUUAUUCACAGUACCAAAUGUCAUAAUUAAACAUUAAAUUUUGUUAUUUUCAAUAUUAGUUGUACUAGUGACUAAUAUUAAUGUUAUAAUCUAUAUUGUAUACAAGGCAUAUAUAAUGUACCAUAUAUUUGAUAUUUGGAUUAUACUCACAAAGAUUCUCUUACACAAAUUACUUCAUACAAAUUUAUCAUAAAUUAAUUAAAUUUUUCCAUACUUUGUUUUUUUUUUGCUACAUUAUUAAAUUAUUGCAUGUAACAUAUUUGAUCUUGAUUUAUUACUGGUACUAUAGUUAAUGGUAGUUAAGGAAAAAUAAGAACUACUUCCUACUGCCCCCUUAUAUUUUAAGGUAUGUCUAAAUCCCUUAAAGUUAUAACAACGUAGUCUACUGUAGUCUUAAUGUUAGCCAUAAAAUUUAAAUAUUUUGAAAAUACAAAUCAAGUAAAAUAACUUAUGUACCCUUAAUUAUCAAAUUUUUUUUAUAAUGAAUUGUAAAUUAUAGAAAAUUAUUACAGGUAGGGGAAAUUUCAUAAAUAUCCCUAUGGGGUCAUUGAUAUAUGAAUCCAAGUAAUUGAAAAAAUAGCAUAAAUUACUUAACACAUCUUGGUUCAUAAAAUAUGUGUACUUGGAUGGAUUUAUAUACUUUAUGCCAUAGUAUUGCUCAUUGUAUUUAGGGUCAGUAAAAUUCCAUAAAUCUCUAUCAGGAUUCAGGAUCCUGGCUCAUUUAGGAUGGGAUUCAAGAUAAAAUUUUAUCCCGAUUUAUCAUUUGGGUUGGGAUUUGGGAUGUUUGAAAAUCUCAAACGAGAUCUUGAAUGUCUUGAAAUAUGGGUUUCUAAAUAUUUAUGACAAGUCAAUUUAAUGAAUUAUAUACAUAUGACAUGUUGAUAUAUUUGUAUGGCAAGUCAUUUUUAUUAAUAAUACACAUAUGAUAUGUCAGUUAUAUGUGUACCACAUGUCUUUUGUUAUAGAAUCUACAACUAUGACAGGGUACUCAUGUCAUCCAAGACAAUUUGGAGUCCCAAUUAGAAUUCAAGAUCCCAAUCAGGAUGGGAUGAGGAUACUUUUUUAUCCUGAUUUACUGUUCAGGAUUGGAUCAAGAUCGGCAAACCCUAACUUGUCUCCGUUCAAUUGCGAACCUUAAUUGUAUGUGUGUUUGGAUGAAUGGCUCACAUUUGCUUGAAUAUCAUCUAUAAAGGUGACUACUAAAACAAAAGGAUAUUUGCAUACAUACGUGUCUAUAUGACAUAUGUGUGUAUAUUUCAAUGCACUCUUUUUUAUCUUUUAGUGUAUUGAAGUUUUUUUUUUAUGGUCUUUUAUCUCUAUCAAAAUGAAUUUUGCUUGAAAGAUGCUCACACUUGAGCACGACUCUCUCUCUCUAUAUAUAUAUAUAAGACUGACUAAAGUAUAGAAAAUUAUAUCUCUCACAUCGAAUAUCAAUGAAAAUUCUAUUUCUGUUUUGCUGAUAGCUUUUGAACUUGUCAAUAAUAUCCUGUUUAACAUAUAUCUGUACUUAGUUUAAAACUACAAAGUUUUUAGGCAUUGUAAAUAGCUAUUUGCUGUCAAACUUGAAUCAUGUUUGUGAUAGGUUCGUUAUCAAUUGUGGAUGCUAGGUCAGAAGGUUGGACUUAUCACACGGACACAAUUAAAUGGCGCUUCACUAAGAUUUGUCCCUACAACGUUGGGAUUGUAAAAUUUUCUUUGCUUCAAGCUCGUAAUAUACCACUACGUAUGGAUCUUUGACCUAUUUUUGAACGCUUCUGCUAGAUAAGAUAACUUCGACUUGUUAAUGGCAUUCUAGACUUGUUAUUACACAACAUUUUCUACUAUAACACUCAUUCCUCGUAUGUUUUGGUAUAUUGUUGGGCAUCAAUUAGAAUCACACUAGUGUCGUGUUCACUUGCUGAAGUGGGAGUGGAGAGAAUGGAUUUUUCUCAUUCUAACUUUUACUUACUCAUUUGAAGAGGGGAACGAGAGUCCACUCCAUAGGAUCUACUCAUUCUUUUGAGUAAGGAGUGGGAUUCCUACUCCCAUGGAGAAUGUGGGAGUCAGUUCCUUUUUUAUCCUUUUCUUUUUAAAUAU